This 700-nucleotide long non-coding RNA is filed under the name Homo sapiens (human). RNAcentral's name for it is "HSALNT0113291". The record is from RNAcentral. Lineage: Eukaryota; Metazoa; Chordata; Mammalia; Primates; Hominidae.
AACAGCUGACAGCUGGGGACAGCUCCCUGAGACACACUGUCAGUGCUGCACGCCAACAGCACAGCCUUCUGGAUGUUCUCAAGAGUCACAGCAGUGCCUGGGCCAGCUCCUGAGAUCCACCCACUUUGGGGCCGCAGACACCUUCCUCACCCACCCUUUUGAUGUCUAAUUCCCUAUGUUAAAACACUUUACACUUAUAAUCCAUCAAGUGGUUUCUGUUUUUCUAACUGAAUUGUUAAAAUAUGCAAAAUUCACAUUAAAGAAGUUUCCUACCUAUCUUGUGACCUCAGUGAAUGAGAUGCUGCUUUAUCCAAUCUACUGACUUUGGAAAAUCCAGCUGAAAUGAGGAAAGAUAAUCGUGCAUGUCUGGCAACCAGGAAAGACAGAUGUUAUUUACCACCAAUGAAUUUUUAUCAUAUUUAAAUGAACUUGAAAAUGUCAUUCAACUCAAAUCCCUCAAUCAACUUACUUCAGCCCAUUCUGAAACUUCAUAUUGCAGCAAACCAGCCAUGUGAAAGAAAUAAAUUCAAUUUUGACUUUCAAAAAAAAUAAAUGCUGCAUAAGUUACCCUUGUGGACCUUAGCUAUUAAGGUGGACAAUGACUUUAUUUUCUUUACGUAAGUUUUAUAUUUUAUUAUGACAUUCAUUUUUUCUACAUGAAGACACAAAUAAAAAUUAUACCAACUACAUAAACUAUUUU